This is a non-coding RNA of Myotis lucifugus (little brown bat), 75 nucleotides long. The record is from Rfam. Lineage: Eukaryota; Metazoa; Chordata; Mammalia; Chiroptera; Vespertilionidae.
GGCAGUUCUCAGGUGACGCACCCCAGAAUCGGGUUCCCUCCUCUCUGGUUCCGUGUGUGUCACCUGAGAACAGCA